This 497-nucleotide ribosomal RNA is filed under the name uncultured bacterium. RNAcentral's name for it is "partial 16S ribosomal RNA". It matches the Rfam family "Bacterial small subunit ribosomal RNA", at positions 28 to 507 of the family's 1533-position model. The record is from RNAcentral.
GACGAACGCUGGCGGCGUGCCUAAUACAUGCAAGUUGAGCGAUGAAGAUUGGUGCUUGCACCAAUUUGAAGAGCAGCGAACGGGUGAGUAACGCGUGGGGAAUCUGCCUUUGAGCGGGGGACAACAUUUGGAAACGAAUGCUAAUACCGCAUAACAACUUUAAACAUAAGUUUUAAGUUUGAAAGAUGCAAUUGCAUCACUCAAAGAUGAUCCCGCGUUGUAUUAGCUAGUUGGUGAGGUAAAGGCUCACCAAGGCGAUGACACAUAGCCGACCUGAGAGGGUGAUCGGCCACAUUGGGACUGAGACACGGCCCAAACUCCUACGGGAGGCAGCAGUAGGGAAUCUUCGGCAAUGGACGAAAGUCUGGCCGAGCAACGCCGCGUGAGUGAAGAAGGUUUUCGGAUCGUAAAACUCUGUUGGUAGAGAAGAACGUUGGUGAGAGUGGAAAGCUCAUCAAGUGACGGUAACUACCCAGAAAGGGACGGCUAACUACGUG